CAGUAGCCGCGGUAAUACGUAGGUGGCAAGCGUUGUCCGGAAUUAUUGGGCGUAAAGGGCUCGCAGGCGGUUUCUUAAGUCUGAUGUGAAAGCCCCCGGCUCAACCGGGGAGGGUCAUUGGAAACUGGGAAACUUGAGUGCAGAAGAAGAGAGUGGAAUUCCACGUGUAGCGGUGAAAUGCGUAGAGAUGUGGAGGAACACCAGUGGCGAAGGCGACUCUCUGGUCUGUAACUGACGCUGAUGCACGAAAGCGUGGGGAGCGAACAGGAUUAGAUACCCGUGUAGUCCCUGUCUCUUAUAC
This 301-nucleotide ribosomal RNA is filed under the name uncultured bacterium. RNAcentral's name for it is "partial 16S ribosomal RNA". It matches the Rfam family "Bacterial small subunit ribosomal RNA", at positions 509 to 807 of the family's 1533-position model. The record is from RNAcentral.